Molecule: long non-coding RNA, 318 nt
Organism: Meriones unguiculatus (Mongolian gerbil)
Lineage: Eukaryota; Metazoa; Chordata; Mammalia; Rodentia; Muridae
Exons: 3
Source: RefSeq, a predicted model, not a curated record
GGAGCACAGCUGUGUGAUGGAGGCUCAGUCUCUGCCAGCUGUCUGGUGCGCAGAAACUGCCUGUGUCUGCCUUUGCGGCUUUUGGGAGCCUGAGUGCCUCUCUCAGAUGGAUUCCUCACACUGAGUUGGAACAAAUGUUCUGAAGUGUCAGUGGAUGAUGGUGAGAUACAUUUGGGAAUACACACCACAAUACGCAAGGGUCCAUGAACAUCAGGAUAAAUGAAAUCCCCAGGUACUGGAGUUACAGAAAAUGGAUGUGAGCUGUGAUUUGGGUGUUAGAAAUCAAACUCAAGUCUUCUGCACUGAUGACCAUUUCUU